Molecule: ribosomal RNA, 511 nt
Filed under: uncultured bacterium
Lineage: Bacteria
Description: bacterial SSU rRNA
Rfam family: Bacterial small subunit ribosomal RNA
Source: RNAcentral
GGCUCAGAACGAACGCUGGCGGCGCGUCUUAAGCAUGCAAGUCGAACGGCAUGAGGAAGCUUGCUUCCUCAGAGAGUGGCGGACUGGUGAGUAACACGUGGGUGACCUACCCUUGAGAUGGGGAUAGCCGUUAGAAAUAGCGGAUAAUACCGAAUACGCUCUACGGACUCUGGUUUGUAGAGGAAACAGGCUACGGCCUGGCUCGAGGAUGGGCCCGCGUCCCAUUAGCUAGUUGGUGAGGUAAGAGCCCACCAAGGCGACGAUGGGUAUCCGGCCUGAGAGGGUGUACGGACACAUUGGGACUGAGAUACGGCCCAAACUCCUACGGGAGGCAGCAGCUAAGAAUAUUCCGCAAUGGACGAAAGUCUGACGGAGCGACGCCGCGUGGAUGAACCGAAGGCCGAAAGGUUGUAAAAUCCUUUUGCUGAUGAAGAAUAAGCGUGGUAGGGAAUGACCGCGUGAUGACAUUAGUCGGUGAAUAAGCCCCGGCUAACUACGUGCCAGCAGCUGC